RNAcentral lists this ribosomal RNA (579 nucleotides) under uncultured bacterium. Its description in RNAcentral is "bacterial SSU rRNA". It matches the Rfam family "Bacterial small subunit ribosomal RNA", at positions 102 to 668 of the family's 1533-position model. The record is from RNAcentral.
ACGGGUGAGUAACACGUGGGUAACCUGCCUAUAAGACUGGGAUAACAUUCGGAAACGAAUGCUAAUACCGGAUACGCGGUUUGGUCGCAUGACCGAAUCGGGAAAGAUGGAGCAAUCUAUCACUUAUAGAUGGACCCGCGGCGCAUUAGCUAGUUGGUGAGGUAACGGCUCACCAAGGCGACGAUGCGUAGCCGACCUGAGAGGGUGAUCGGCCACACUGGGACUGAGACACGGCCCAGACUCCUACGGGAGGCAGCAGUAGGGAAUCUUCCGCAAUGGACGAAAGUCUGACGGAGCAACGCCGCGUGAGUGAUGAAGGUUUUCGGAUCGUAAAGCUCUGUUGCCAGGGAAGAAUGCUUGGGAGAGUAACUGCUCCCAAGGUGACGGUACCUGAGAAGAAAGCCCCGGCUAACUACGUGCCAGCAGCCGCGGUAAUACGUAGGGGGCAAGCGUUGUCCGGAAUUAUUGGGCGUAAAGCGCGCGCAGGCGGCCUUGUAAGUCUGUUGUUUAAACUUGGGGCUCAACCCCAAGUCGCAAUGGAAACUGCAAAGCUUGAGUGCAGAAGAGGAAAGUGGAAUU